This is a non-coding RNA of Parelaphostrongylus tenuis, 75 nucleotides long. NCBI's taxonomy places the organism in Eukaryota, Metazoa, Nematoda, Chromadorea, Rhabditida, Metastrongylidae. The record is from the annotation of a GenBank genome assembly.
GCGUCAGUAGUGCAACGGGUUAAAGCACGCGCUCCUGGAUAGAGUGAGAUGUAGGUUCGAAUCCCACUUGACGCG